CGGGACGGGUGAGUAACGCGUGGGUAACCUACCUCAUACAGGGGGAUAACAGUUGGAAACGGCUGCUAAUACCGCAUAAGCGCACAGUGCUGCAUGGCACAGUGUGAAAAACUCCGGUGGUAUGAGAUGGACCCGCGUCUGAUUAGCUAGUUGGUGGGGUAACGGCCUACCAAGGCGACGAUCAGUAGCCGGCCUGAGAGGGUGAACGGCCACAUUGGGACUGAGACACGGCCCAA
This 236-nucleotide ribosomal RNA is filed under the name uncultured bacterium. RNAcentral describes it as "partial 16S ribosomal RNA". It matches the Rfam family "Bacterial small subunit ribosomal RNA", at positions 100 to 334 of the family's 1533-position model. The record is from RNAcentral.